AUGGCUUCCAAAACCUUCCUAGUAUUACUCAUUCUUGCUCUUGUCAUUCCCCAAGGAUUUGCCUACUAUAAGAAACCUCCCAUUUCUCAACCACCGGUGGCAACACCUCCCAUAGAAAAACCAACUGUUGAAAGCCCUCCUGUCUACAAACAGAAACCUCCGAUUUAUAAGCCACCGGUAGGGCCUCAACCACCAGCUUACACGCCUCCAUUCUAA
This 216-nucleotide long non-coding RNA is filed under the name Vicia faba (fava bean). The record is from RNAcentral. Lineage: Eukaryota; Viridiplantae; Streptophyta; Magnoliopsida; Fabales; Fabaceae.